CCUACGGGAGGCAGCAGUGGGGAAUAUUGCGCAAUGGGCGAAAGCCUGACGCAGCGACGCCGCGUGAGGGAUGAAGGUCUUCGGAUCGUAAACCUCUGUCAGCAGGGAAGAACGGUCACUGUGCUAAUCAGCAGUGAAUUGACGGUACCUGCAAAGGAAGCACCGGCUAACUCCGUGCCAGCAGCCGCGGUAAUACGGAGGGUGCGAGCGUUAAUCGGAGUGACUGGGCGUAAAGCGCUCGUAGGCGGUAUGUCAAGUCAAGGGUGAAAUCCCCGCGCUCAACGUGGGAACUGCCUUUGAAACUGGCAAACUGGAGUGUAGGAGAGGAUAGUGGAAUUGCAGGUGUAGCGGUGAAAUCCGUAGAUAUCUGGAAGAACAUCAGUGGCGAAGGCGACUAUCUGGCACAUAACUGACGCUGAGGAGCGAAAGCGUGGGUAGCAAACAGGAUUAGAUACCCUGGUAGUC
Molecule: ribosomal RNA, 465 nt
Filed under: uncultured bacterium
Lineage: Bacteria
Description: partial 16S ribosomal RNA
Rfam family: Bacterial small subunit ribosomal RNA
Source: RNAcentral